AAUUAAGGCAUGUGUGGAUGCAUCCCGGUUUGAUCUGGUUGACUCUCUUUAUGAACAAAUGGCUGAACGUUCCAUAGUUCCUAACACUGUCACCCAAAAUAUAGUCUUGAGUGGUUACGGGAGAGCAGGGAAAUAUGAAGAGAUGGAGAAAGUGCUUUCGGGUAUGCUUGAGAGCACAGACAGCAGACCUGAUAUAUGGACAAUGAACACAAUCCUGAGCUUAUUUGGCAACAAGGGGCAAGUUGAAAUGAUGGAGAGAUGGUAUGAGAAGUUUUGUAGUUUCGGUAUUGAGCCAGAGACACGAACAUUUAAUAUCCUUAUUAGUGCUUAUGGGAAGAAAAGAAUGUACGAUAAGAUGUCAUCGGUGAUGGAGUACAUGCGUAAACUUUCAUUUCCUUGGACAACAUCGACUUACAACAACGUCAUCGAAGCGUUUUCAGAUAUAGGGGAUGCUAAGCAUAUGGAGUACACAUUUGAUCAAAUGCG
This 486-nucleotide unclassified non-coding RNA is filed under the name Hevea brasiliensis (rubber tree). Lineage: Eukaryota; Viridiplantae; Streptophyta; Magnoliopsida; Malpighiales; Euphorbiaceae. The record is from RNAcentral.